RNAcentral lists this ribosomal RNA (468 nucleotides) under uncultured bacterium. RNAcentral's name for it is "partial 16S ribosomal RNA". It matches the Rfam family "Bacterial small subunit ribosomal RNA", at positions 28 to 507 of the family's 1533-position model. The record is from RNAcentral.
GACGAACGCUGGCGGCGUGCUUAACACAUGCAAGUCGAACGGAAAGGCCCUGCUUUUGUGGGGUGCUCGAGUGGCGAACGGGUGAGUAACACGUGAGUAACCUGCACUUGAAUUUGGGAUAACUUCAGGAAACUGGGGCUAAUACCGGAUAGGAGCUCCUGCUGCAUGGUGGGGGUUGGAAAGUUUCGGCGGUUGGGGAUGGACUCGCGGCUUAUCAGCUUGUUGGUGGGGUAGUGGCUUACCAAGGCUUUGACGGGUAGCCGGCCUGAGAGGGUGACCGGCCACAUGAGGACUGAGAUACGGCCCAGACGCCUACGUGAGGCAGCAGUGGGGAAUAUUGCACAAUGGGCGGAAGCCUGAUGCAGCAACGCCGCGUGCGGGAUGACGGCCUUCGGGUUGUAAACCGCUUUCGCCUGUGACGAAGCGUGAGUGACGGUAAUGGGUAAAGAAGCACCGGCUAACUACGUG